Molecule: transfer RNA, 76 nt
Filed under: Clostridiales bacterium
Lineage: Bacteria; Bacillati; Bacillota; Clostridia; Eubacteriales
Also listed under: 4 other names
Description: tRNA-Pro
Rfam family: tRNA
About the family: Transfer RNA (tRNA) molecules are approximately 80 nucleotides in length. Their secondary structure includes four short double-helical elements and three loops (D, anti-codon, and T loops).
Source: RNAcentral
CGGGGUGUGGCUCAGGUGGUAGAGUGCUUGCUUCGGGAGCAAGAGGCCGUGGGUUCGAGUCCCGCCACUCCGACCA